GCUGGGCGUGGUGGUGCAUGCCUGUAAUCCCAGCUACUUGGAGACUGAGGCAGGAAGUUUGCAAGUUUGAAGAGAGAUUCUGUCUCAA
This 88-nucleotide small RNA is filed under the name Marmota monax (woodchuck). The record is from RNAcentral. Lineage: Eukaryota; Metazoa; Chordata; Mammalia; Rodentia; Sciuridae.